CGCUGGCGGCAGGCCUAACACAUGCAAGUCGAGCGGAUGACGGGAGCUUGCUCCUUGAUUCAGCGGCGGACGGGUGAGUAAUGCCUAGGAAUCUGCCUGGUAGUGGGGGACAACGUUUCGAAAGGAACGCUAAUACCGCAUACGUCCUACGGGAGAAAGCAGGGGACCUUCGGGCCUUGUGCAGAUGGAUGAGCUCGCGUCGGAUUAGCUUGUUGGUGAGGUAAAGGCUCACCAAGGCGACGAUCAGUAGCUGGUCUGAGAGGAUGAUCA
RNAcentral lists this ribosomal RNA (270 nucleotides) under Symbiodinium sp. Mp. RNAcentral's name for it is "partial Bacterial small subunit ribosomal RNA". It matches the Rfam family "Bacterial small subunit ribosomal RNA", at positions 34 to 306 of the family's 1533-position model. Lineage: Eukaryota; Dinophyceae; Suessiales; Symbiodiniaceae. The record is from RNAcentral.